RNAcentral lists this long non-coding RNA (637 nucleotides) under Pan troglodytes (chimpanzee). Its description in RNAcentral is "long non-coding RNA NONPTRT006948". The record is from RNAcentral. Lineage: Eukaryota; Metazoa; Chordata; Mammalia; Primates; Hominidae.
CGCAGGCCGCGGCGUACGGCAGGUGCGUGCAGGCCUCCACGGCCCCGGGCGGCCGCCUGAGUAAGGACUUUUGCGCGCGGGAGUUCGAGGCCCUGCGGAGCUGCUUCGCCGCCGCGGCCAAGAAAACCCUGGAGGGAGGCUGUUAGGAGGGACUCUGAGCUUCACACCUGUCUGCUGCCAUGGGUGCAGAGCCCUAGUCCUGAUGGCCCCUGGUGGCACAUAUCGAAUGCCUAGGGCAGAAAGGAAGUGGGAAUGGCGAAGAUGUGACGUUCCUCGGUGUUAGAUCCUGUUUUUUCUUAACAAGUUGAGGCGUGGGUAGAGCAGGAAUUGGUUUUCCAGCAUUGUGUCCGUAAACCUGAGUUAGAAUAAGAUGUAACGGAAGCCACGAUAAAGACUCGGUCAAAUCCUGCAGCCUGGGGCUUACUGUGUGCAGACUGCAACAUGUGGGUCUUGGCCUCUCUGAGAUGGAAUGGGGCCCAGAGGCUUUCCCCCAAAGCUGGCAGGGCUGGGACUUGGGGACACCCUGCCUCAAGGUCCCCGUUUUAAAACACUCUCACUAAGGUAUUUAAUGUGAAUCUGGUGAAGCCUGCAGACCUUGCUGUGGGUAUACAGCACACACCAAAGACAAGGACGUCAG